UUUAUAUUUGCUUACAUACUUCCUUUGCUUACCGUGAAAGAAAGAUUUAAAUAACUUUCUAAUUCUUCAAAAAGAUUUUAAAAGUGCAUGUUUUUAUUAAACACCAAUUCAACCCUCCCCUCCCCCCUCUUGGUGUGAAGAAACAAGCCUUAUUAUUUCUAAGAACCUUACUCUGCACAUUUUAUUCCCUCACUCUAUUCACUUAUUCAUUUUCCAAACUUCCAAAAGAUAAUACCCUCCUAAAUCCUCUCCUUUCUUCACUCAACUCACGGUCUACCUACCAUUCUUCUUCAUCCUGCCACCACAGGUUUAGCUACAUGCGCUUAUUAAUCCCUUCUCCUCGUGGAUAACCAAAACUCUUUACACUUUCACAUCCCAACUAACAAAGCCAAACACCCCAACUUCCCUUUACUACAUGAGAGCAAGCCCCCAACAGACUCUGUUUUCAUAGUGUAGGUUUCGAAAUUCCAAGGAACUACAACAGGAAAUGAAGAAGAGACCUUAAGAUCCCAAACGAAGCACACAAACAUAUAUAUUUUACCUCUACACUAUCCAAUAUCAAAAUAGAGAGAGUAGCAAUAAAAUUGUUAAGACUCCGGCAAGUGUACUGAAUCAUAUCAAGUAAUAUAAAUGUUAACACUCUCACAAGUGUACCAGAUCGUAACAAGUAAUAAUAGACAGUAAGUCCGAAUAUCGUUUCCCAAGGGAUUUUUAGGCCUAAUCGUUUAUGUGAAUUGAUUUCUUAAG
RNAcentral lists this long non-coding RNA (747 nucleotides) under Vigna radiata. RNAcentral describes it as "long non-coding RNA (VRAD_LNC016539)". Lineage: Eukaryota; Viridiplantae; Streptophyta; Magnoliopsida; Fabales; Fabaceae. The record is from RNAcentral.